AUUGAACGCUGGCGGCAGGCUUAACACAUGCAAGUCGAGCGGGGUGAUGGUGCUUGCACUAUCACUUAGCGGCGGACGGGUGAGUAAUGCUUAGGAAUCUGCCUAUUAGUGGGGGACAACAUCUCGAAAGGGAUGCUAAUACCGCAUACGUCCUACGGGAGAAAGCAGGGGAUCACUUGUGACCUUGCGCUAAUAGAUGAGCCUAAGUCGGAUUAGCUAGUUGGUGGGGUAAAGGCCUACCAAGGCGACGAUCUGUAGCGGGUCUGAGGGGAUGAUCCGCCACACGGGGACUGAGACACGGGCCAGACUCCUACGGGAGGCAGCAGUGGGGAAUAUUGGACAAUGGGGGGAACCCUGAUCUAGCCAUGCCGCGUGUGUGAAGAAGGCCUUAUGGUUGUAAAGCACUUUAAGCGAGGAGGAGGCUCUUUUGGUUAAUACCCAAGAUGAGUGGACGUUACUCGCAGAAUAAGCACCGGCUAACUCUGUGCCAGCCGCCGCAGUAA
Molecule: ribosomal RNA, 503 nt
Filed under: uncultured bacterium
Lineage: Bacteria
Description: partial 16S ribosomal RNA
Rfam family: Bacterial small subunit ribosomal RNA
Source: RNAcentral